AAUCAUUUGUUCUUUAAAUAAGGACCUGUAUGAACGGCUACAUGAGGAUUAACUUGUCUCUUACACCGAAUCGAUGAAACUGAUCCCCCAGUCCAAAAGCUGGGAUAUUAACAUAAGACGAGAAGACCCUGUGGAGCUUUAAACUGCCUACCACACAGUUUGACCUGGCAUGUUUUUAGUUGGGGCGACUUUGGAGACAAACAAAACAUCCAAACACAUUAACCCGAGGCUUACACGCCACCGCACCCCCUACCAGACCCAAUAAAAUUGAACAAUGGACCAAGUUACCCCAGGGAUAACAGCGCAAUCUUCUUCUAGAGUCCCUAUCGACAAGAAGGUUUACGACCUCGAUGUUGGAUCAGGAUAUCCAAAUAGUGCAGCCGCCAUUAAAGGUUCGUUUGUUCAACGAUUAAUAUCCUA
Molecule: ribosomal RNA, 420 nt
Filed under: Blanus cinereus (Mediterranean worm lizard)
Lineage: Eukaryota; Metazoa; Chordata; Lepidosauria; Squamata; Blanidae
Description: LSU rRNA
Rfam family: Bacterial large subunit ribosomal RNA
Source: RNAcentral